UGGGGAAUAUUGCACAAUGGGCGAAAGCCUGAUGCAGCAACGCCGCGUGAGUGAUGAAGGCCUUCGGGUUGUAAAGCUCUGUCUUUUGGGACGAUAAUGACGGUACCAAAGGAGGAAGCCACGGCUAACUACGUGCCAGCAGCCGCGGUAAUACGUAGGUGGCAAGCGUUGUCCGGAUUUACUGGGCGUAAAGGAUGCGUAGGCGGAUUUUUAAGUGAGAUGUGAAAUACCCGGGCUUAACUUGGGUGCUGCAUUUCAAACUGGGAAUCUAGAGUGCGGGAGAGGAGAAUGGAAUUCCUAGUGUAGCGGUGAAAGUGCGUAGAGAUUAGGAAGAACACCAGUGGCGAAGGCGAUUCUCUGGACCGUAACUGACGCUGAGGCAUGAAAGCGUGGGUAGCAAACAGGAUUAGAUACCCUGGUAGUCCACGCCGUAAACGAUGAGUACUAGGUGUAGGAGGUAUCGACCCCUUCUGUGCCGCAGUUAACACAAUCAAGUACUCCGCCUGGGAAGUACGAUCGCAAGAUUAAAACUCAAAUGAAUUGACGGGGUCAUAGCUGUUUCC
Molecule: ribosomal RNA, 563 nt
Filed under: uncultured bacterium
Lineage: Bacteria
Description: partial 16S ribosomal RNA
Rfam family: Bacterial small subunit ribosomal RNA
Source: RNAcentral